Molecule: ribosomal RNA, 272 nt
Filed under: Escherichia coli
Lineage: Bacteria; Pseudomonadati; Pseudomonadota; Gammaproteobacteria; Enterobacterales; Enterobacteriaceae
Description: partial 16S ribosomal RNA
Rfam family: Bacterial small subunit ribosomal RNA
Source: RNAcentral
AAAUUGAAGAGUUUGAUCAUGGCUCAGAUUGAACGCUGGCGGCAGGCCUAACACAUGCAAGUCGAACGGUAACAGGAAACAGCUUGCUGUUUCGCUGACGAGUGGCGGACGGGUGAGUAAUGUCUGGGAAGCUGCCUGAUGGAGGGGGAUAACUACUGGAAACGGUAGCUAAUACCGCAUAACGUCGCAAGACCAAAGAGGGGGACCUUCGGGCCUCUUGCCAUCGGAUGUGCCCAGAUGGGAUUAGCUAGUAGGUGGGGUAACGGCUCACC